Non-coding RNA from Cadophora gregata, 103 nucleotides. Lineage: Eukaryota; Fungi; Ascomycota; Leotiomycetes; Helotiales; Ploettnerulaceae. The record is from the annotation of a RefSeq genome assembly.
GCCCGGGUAGCUCAAUCGGUAGAGCGUGUGGCUCUUAUAACUGAAAGAUCGAAAGAUCUAUAUCGGAACCUCAAGGUCGUGGGUUCGAGCCCCACCUCGGGCU